Non-coding RNA from Acanthosepion pharaonis, 113 nucleotides. NCBI's taxonomy places the organism in Eukaryota, Metazoa, Mollusca, Cephalopoda, Sepiida, Sepiidae. The record is from the annotation of a GenBank genome assembly.
UAUGGCCACAUCACGUUGAAACACCGAUUCCCGUACAAUUACUGAAGUUAAGCAACGUCAAGCCUGGUCAUUAUAUAGAUGGGUGAUCACUUGAGAAUACCAGGUGUUGUAAG